UACGUAGGGACCAAGCGUUGUCCGGAAUCAUUGGGCGUAAAGAGCGUGUAGGCGGCUUGUUAAGUCUUGCGUGAAAUCUCGGGGCUCAACCCCGAGCGGUCGUGAGAAACUGGCAGGCUAGAGUGCGGGAGAGGAGAGUGGAAUUCCUGGUGUAGCGGUGAAAUGCGCAGAUAUCAGGAAGAACACCCGUGGCGAAGGCGGCUUUCUGGCUCGCAACUGACGCUGAGGCGCGAAAGCGUGGGGAGCAAACAGG
RNAcentral lists this ribosomal RNA (253 nucleotides) under uncultured bacterium. RNAcentral's name for it is "partial 16S ribosomal RNA". It matches the Rfam family "Bacterial small subunit ribosomal RNA", at positions 524 to 776 of the family's 1533-position model. The record is from RNAcentral.